CGGCGUGGGACGUUUGCGCUUUUUCAUAGGACAUUUGCGCUUUUUAUUUUGGACACUUGCGCUUCAAAUCAUAGGACAUUUGCGCUUUUUAAAAAUAGACAUUUGCGCUUUUUACAUAGGACAUUUGCGCUUUUGCAAUAUUUGGUUUUUAAGACUAUCCUCCUCUUUUAUCCGGGCUUGGGACCGGCAGGUUUGACCUUGAAGAGUUGAAGACAUAUUGUUCUUUAUGAUUAAAAGUUUAAAAUCGUUUCAUAGCACAUUGAUGUAUGUUUUAAAGUUUAUAUACAGCUAAAAAUAAACAUUAUAAAGACAUACAAACACGUAAAGUCAUCACAUGUCAGUUUAGCUUGAUAUCUG
RNAcentral lists this long non-coding RNA (357 nucleotides) under Mytilus galloprovincialis (Mediterranean mussel). The record is from RNAcentral. Lineage: Eukaryota; Metazoa; Mollusca; Bivalvia; Mytilida; Mytilidae.